This 133-nucleotide small RNA is filed under the name Anabaena cylindrica. RNAcentral describes it as "c-di-AMP sequence". It matches the Rfam family "c-di-AMP riboswitch aptamer (ydaO/yuaA leader)". Rfam says of the family: This family represents a conserved RNA structure found upstream of the ydaO and yuaA genes in Bacillus subtilis and related genes in other bacteria. The ydaO/yuaA element is thought to act as a genetic "off" switch for the ydaO and yuaA genes in its native state. Lineage: Bacteria; Bacillati; Cyanobacteriota; Cyanophyceae; Nostocales; Nostocaceae. The record is from RNAcentral.
UUUAGUGGGUAGCCUAAUUCAAAUUCAUGAAAGCUGGAUUUGAAGCGGAGGAACCAAAAAUUGGGGCUAAUCUAACGAGAGACACCUUCCAGUCUUAGCCCGUCAGCUAACUCCGUCGGCAAUGGAAGGAACC